RNAcentral lists this long non-coding RNA (215 nucleotides) under Gossypium raimondii (Peruvian cotton). RNAcentral describes it as "long non-coding RNA (GRAI_LNC001632)". The record is from RNAcentral. Lineage: Eukaryota; Viridiplantae; Streptophyta; Magnoliopsida; Malvales; Malvaceae.
CCUAUAUCUAGUUUUGUUUAAUAAAUCCACCGUCCAAGAUUACACGCCAUCGAUCGACCAUUCCCCACCCAUCCCCUUCUCUUUUCAAAUCAUAAGCUCACCACCGCUAAAUUCUCUUUUCCCCCUCUCCAUUCAUCAACCCUUUCCCCCUUUCCCCAUCUUUUGUUUCUCUCUCGCUGCUGAUGGCACCUUACCUUUCCUCUUCACUGCCAAUC